GAUGAACGCUGGCGGCGUGUCUAAUACAUGCAAGUCGAGCGAACAGACGAGGAGCUUGCUCCUCUGACGUUAGCGGCGGACGGGUGAGUAACACGUGGAUAACCUACCUAUAAGACUGGGAUAACUUCGGGAAACCGGAGCUAAUACCGGAUAAUAUAUUGAACCGCAUGGUUCAAUAGUGAAAGACGGUUUUGCUGUCACUUAUAGAUGGAUCCGCGCCGCAUUAGCUAGUUGGUAAGGUAACGGCUUACCAAGGCAACGAUGCGUAGCCGACCUGAGAGAGUGAUCGGCCACACUGGAACUGAGACACGGUCCAGACUCCUACGGGAGGCAGCAGUAGGGAAUCUUCCGCAAUGGGCGAAAGCCUGACGGAGCAACGCCGCGUGAGUGAUGAAGGUCUUCGGAUCGUAAAACUCUGUUAUUAGGGAAGAACAAAUGUGUAAGUAACUAUGCACGUCUUGACGGUACCUAAUCAGAAAGCCACGGCUAACUACGUG
Molecule: ribosomal RNA, 497 nt
Filed under: uncultured bacterium
Lineage: Bacteria
Description: partial 16S ribosomal RNA
Rfam family: Bacterial small subunit ribosomal RNA
Source: RNAcentral